RNAcentral lists this long non-coding RNA (700 nucleotides) under Cricetulus griseus (Chinese hamster). RNAcentral describes it as "lncRNA (ENSCGRG00000025804.1)". The record is from RNAcentral. Lineage: Eukaryota; Metazoa; Chordata; Mammalia; Rodentia; Cricetidae.
CGAAGACCUCCGGUAUAUCUGGGGAGGCUUUGCCUAUCUACAGGACAUGGUUGAGCAAGGAAUCAUAAGGAGCCAGACCCAGGCAGAGGUUCCCAUUGGCGUCUAUCUCCAGCAGAUGCCUUAUCCCUGCUUCGUGGAUGACUCUUUUAUGAUCGUCCUGAACCGCUGCUUUCCUAUCUUCAUGGUGCUGGCGUGGAUCUACUCCGUCUCCAUGACCGUUAAGGGCAUUGUCUUGGAGAAGGAACUGAGGCUGAAGGAGACUUUGAAGAACCAGGGUGUCUCUAAUGCUGUGAUUUGGUGUACCUGGUUCCUGGACAGCUUCUCCAUCAUGUCAAUGAGUAUCUUCCUCCUGACGCUGUUCAUCAUGACAGACAUGAGUCUCUUUUAAAGAGUGGUUCCUGGAAUUACCAUUCCAAUAUCUGGCCUACAGCUGGAAUGAGGCGAACACUGCCAGUGGUAUGAAGGGAAGAGAUCUGGACAAUUUGUCAGUCAUCCCCAUGGCCAGGAAUUAGAUUCACUAAGUAACAUUCUUCUGCCUGCUAAGAUCUUCAAGGACUCUGUUUUAAAGGAUGGAAUUUGGAAACUGACCUUUCUCAGUGAUAAGGAGUUUUUAUUGCCAAAGAUGAUGUCAUUCUGUCUUCUGCAAGUCUAUGACUCCUCUGUAAGCUAGAAUUGAAAACAAAACACUGUUUCACAAAAU